RNAcentral lists this transfer RNA (94 nucleotides) under Calditrichota bacterium. Its description in RNAcentral is "Calditrichaeota bacterium (hydrothermal vent metagenome) tRNA-Sec". It matches the Rfam family "Selenocysteine transfer RNA". Lineage: Bacteria; Pseudomonadati; Calditrichota. The record is from RNAcentral.
GGAGGUGGAUGGGGACUGGUGUCCCUCCCGGCCUUCAAAGCCGCGUGUCCCUGCGAAACCGCGGGGAGGUGGGUUCGAUUCCCACGCACCUCCG